Molecule: ribosomal RNA, 253 nt
Filed under: uncultured bacterium
Lineage: Bacteria
Description: partial 16S ribosomal RNA
Rfam family: Bacterial small subunit ribosomal RNA
Source: RNAcentral
UACGUAGGGGGCAAGCGUUGUCCGGAUUUAUUGGGCGUAAAGAGCUCGUAGGCGGUUCCGUAAGUCGGAUGUGAAAAAUCUGGGCUCAACCCAGUGGAGCACCCGAUACUGCGGUGACUCGAGUCCGGUAGGGGAGUGUGGAAUUCCUGGUGUAGCGGUGAGAUGCGCAGAUAUCAGGAGGAACACCGACGGCGAAGGCAGCACUCUGGGCCGGUACUGACGCUGAGGAGCGAAAGCAUGGGGAGCGAACAGG